UAAGACAGAGGUGCCAAGCGUUAGGCGGAAUCACUGGGCUUAAAGCGUGUGUAGGCGGGCGGGCAAGUACCUUGUGAAAUCCCACGGCUCAACCGUGGAACGGCUGGGUAUACUGCCUGUCUUGAGCCAGCUAGGGGCGACCGGAACAGACGGUGGAGCGGUGAAAUGCGUAGAUAUCGUCUGGAACGCCAAAGGUGAAAACAGGUCGCUGGGGCUGAGCUGACGCUGAGACACGAAAGCCAGGGGAGCGAACGGGAUUAGAUACCCCGGUAGUCCUGGCCCUAAACGAUGUCGACUAGAUCGCAGGACCUCUGACGGUUUUGCGGUCGCAGCAAAAGUGCUAAGUCGACCGCCUGGGAAGUACGGUCGCAAGGCUA
RNAcentral lists this ribosomal RNA (377 nucleotides) under uncultured bacterium. Its description in RNAcentral is "bacterial SSU rRNA". It matches the Rfam family "Bacterial small subunit ribosomal RNA", at positions 521 to 896 of the family's 1533-position model. The record is from RNAcentral.